AGUGAACGCUGGCGGUAGGCCUAACACAUGCAAGUCGAACGGCAGCACAGUAAGAGCUUGCUCUUACGGGUGGCGAGUGGCGGACGGGUGAGGAAUACAUCGGAAUCUACUUUUUCGUGGGGGAUAACGUAGGGAAACUUACGCUAAUACCGCAUACGACCUACGGGUGAAAGCAGGGGAUCUUCGGACCUUGCGCGAUUGAAUGAGCCGAUGUCGGAUUAGCUAGUUGGCGGGGUAAAGGCCCACCAAGGCGACGAUCCGUAGCUGGUCUGAGAGGAUGAUCAGCCACACUGGAACUGAGACACGGUCCAGACUCCUACGGGAGGCAGCAGUGGGGAAUAUUGGGCAAUGGGCGCAAGCCUGAUCCAGCCAUACCGCGUGGGUGAAAAAGGCCUUCGGGUUGUAAAGCCCUUUUGUUGGGAAAGAAAAGCAGCAGGUUAAUACCCCGCUGUUCUGACGGUACCCAAAGAAUAAGCACCGGCUAACUUCGUG
RNAcentral lists this ribosomal RNA (492 nucleotides) under uncultured bacterium. RNAcentral describes it as "partial 16S ribosomal RNA". It matches the Rfam family "Bacterial small subunit ribosomal RNA", at positions 29 to 507 of the family's 1533-position model. The record is from RNAcentral.